AGUGAACGCUGGCGGUAGGCCUAACACAUGCAAGUCGAACGGCAGCACAGUAAGAGCUUGCUCUUACGGGUGGCGAGUGGCGGACGGGUGAGGAAUACAUCGGAAUCUACUUUUUCGUGGGGGAUAACGUAGGGAAACUUACGCUAAUACCGCAUACGACCUACGGGUGAAGCAGGGGGUCUUCGGACCUUGCGCGGUUGAAUGAGCCGAUGUCGGAUUAGCUAGUUGGCGGGGUAAAGGCCCACCAAGGCGACGAUCCGUAGCUGGUCUGAGAGGAUGAUCAGCCACACUGGAACUGAGACACGGUCCAGACUCCUACGGGAGGCAGCAGUGGGGAAUAUUGGACAAUGGGCGCAAGCCUGAUCCAGCCAUACCGCGUGGGUGAAGAAGGCCUUCGGGUUGUAAAGCCCUUUUGUUGGGAAAGAAAAGCAGCAGGUUAAUACCCCGCUGUUCUGACGGUACCCAAAGAAUAAGCACCGGCUAACUUCGUG
Molecule: ribosomal RNA, 491 nt
Filed under: uncultured bacterium
Lineage: Bacteria
Description: partial 16S ribosomal RNA
Rfam family: Bacterial small subunit ribosomal RNA
Source: RNAcentral